UGGGGAAUAUUGCACAAUGGGCGAAAGCCUGAUGCAGCGACGCCGCGUGAGGGAUGACGGCCUUCGGGUUGUAAACCUCUUUCAGCAGGGACGAAGCGCAAGUGACGGUACCUGCAGAAGAAGCACCGGCUAACUACGUGCCAGCAGCCGCGGUAAUACGUAGGGUGCAAGCGUUGUCCGGAAUUACUGGGCGUAAAGAGUUCGUAGGCGGUUUGUCGCGUCGUUUGUGAAAACCAGCAGCUCAACUGCUGGCUUGCAGGCGAUACGGGCAGACUUGAGUACUGCAGGGGAGACUUGAAUUCCUGGUGUAGCGGUGAAAUGCGCAGAUAUCAGGAGGAACACCGGUGGCGAAGGCGGGUCUCUGGGCAGUAUCAGACGCUGAGGAACGAAAGCGUGGGUAGCGAACAGG
This 409-nucleotide ribosomal RNA is filed under the name bacterium. Its description in RNAcentral is "partial 16S ribosomal RNA". It matches the Rfam family "Bacterial small subunit ribosomal RNA", at positions 355 to 776 of the family's 1533-position model. The record is from RNAcentral.